RNAcentral lists this long non-coding RNA (203 nucleotides) under Mytilus galloprovincialis (Mediterranean mussel). The record is from RNAcentral. Lineage: Eukaryota; Metazoa; Mollusca; Bivalvia; Mytilida; Mytilidae.
GUGCUGUCUUGAGCCUGUUAAAGUUUUUUAUUUAUUAUAUAUUAUAAUGGGUUAAAAAUAUUUCGCUAAAAUGGUCAUUGACAAUUUUAAUUUUCUAUAAAAUCGGUUAAAAAUCAGGCGCUAAAAAUAGGUUAUACUUUGGCGCCAAAACGUCCGAUUUUUUUCGCUCAAUGUCCUAUUAAUGCGCUAAAAUGUCCUCCGCC